GUGCUCAGAAAUAAAACCCUGAGGGAAAAGAACUGGUGAGGCGUCUGUCAAUCCUAGGGAAAGGGUCUCUGCUCUUUGUGAAAAAGCAAGUCAAGAUGGCAACUGAGGAUUGCAGCUAAACUGAAAGCUGGAGGUGGAGAUUAGAACUACCCAGUGAGGAGCAAGCCUGGGUGGUCCAGGGGAGGCCAUUGUGGAACCACCCAGAUACCAUAGGAAGAGGAACUCUGCAGCAGUAGCGACAUAGAGAAACUGAGACCCAGGAAAUUAAGUGAUGUGCCCACUGGCACCCAAAUAGUAACAGAGAUGGCUCCGACUGAACAUUCUUUCAGCAAUAAUGCUAAUACCACCAAAGACUUGAGAAAAAUCUUGCUCAAUUCUUCCUCCCACCCUGUCUGCAAUGAUUUCCCUACGUGAGCUACCAAGAAUAAAAUAUUAACC
Non-coding RNA from Phascolarctos cinereus (koala), 438 nucleotides. The record is from RefSeq and is a predicted model, not a curated record. Lineage: Eukaryota; Metazoa; Chordata; Mammalia; Diprotodontia; Phascolarctidae.